Triticum aestivum (bread wheat) is the source of this 3678-nucleotide RNA transcript. RefSeq lists it as uncharacterized. The transcript has 4 exons. The record is from RefSeq and is a predicted model, not a curated record. Lineage: Eukaryota; Viridiplantae; Streptophyta; Magnoliopsida; Poales; Poaceae.
CUCCCAUGCUCCCCAACGAUAGAAGAAGGAAAAAACAUCCACGAGCGCACACGUCUCAUGCCCCAUCUCCCACAAACCCCCCUCUCUCUCCCGAGAAACUUGCCGCCGCCGUCCAACCUGAAUCAGCCGCUCUCCCUCGUGCUCCUGGCCGCCGACGCCCUCAAGCCGUGGCACAAGGCGGUGCUGCCUCCGACUCUCGCACCUACCUCCUGACCGGUGCUUGCUGGAAAUCACGUCUUCCAAGCCCAGGAUGAAGGCCAGUCCCGAAUCCCUCUUCGGCUCCUCGUCGCCAUCCGGCAGCGAAGGGUCUCUCUCUCCCAUCGCAGUCAGUCGCGGCUUCCUCUAGCCCUCCUCACUGGUGACGCCAAGACCGGAUCCACGCCGUGGGAGGUGUCCACCGUCGGCAACCUGAGGAGCCUCGCCACCUCGAGCCUCAACUCGCUCAAGCGUAGCCUCGACGCGCUCCACGGCCACUCCGCCCGUGACCUCGAAGCCUCCCACUUCCGAAUCUCCAAGCGCAUCAAGAUGCAGAGCUCCCUGGAGCUGGCGGAGAAGGAGCAUAGGAAGAUGUUCGAGAAGAUCACCGAGCGUCCUGAGGAGAUGAAAGUACACUUAUUCGAUUCCAUGUUUGAUCCAGUGUUGGUCGUGAGUGCUACAGUUUAUCUGAAAACAAUUCCUGUCUGUGAAAUUACAAGAAGUUGAUGACAGAGGUGCAGAGCUCCCCGCAGCUGGCGGAGGAGCAUAGGAAGAUGUUCGAGAAGAUCGCCGAGCAUGCCGAGGAGAUGAAGAGGUGCAGAGCUCCCUGCAGCUGGCGGAGAAGGAGCAUAGGAAGAUGUUCGAGAAGAUCGCCGAGCAUGCUGAGGAGAUGAAGGUACACUCAUUCGAUUCCAUGGUUGAUCAAGUGUUGGUUGUGAGUGCUACAGUUUAUCUGGAAAUAAUUCCUGUCUGUGAAAUUACAAGAAGUUGAUGACAGAGGUGCAGUUGUCUUCAUCUCGAGUUUGCAAGGUGACCUUACCUGAGAUGGCAAAGUCCGUAGCCAGAGUUAUUGAUGGCUUGCGCAGUCGCUACAACAUCCCACCUACGCGAGUUUAGCAUAGCUCUCUUAGUUGGUAAUCACUUCUCCUGUCAUCAACUUGACAUAUGAGUUGCUCAUGUUCAGUAAAUUUUCAUGAACGUAUGAGUGUUUGUCCAUAAAAAUUGGCAGGUGUAGUAUGUAUCUACCAGGGAUAGUAAUUAUUCUUGGUUACAGGAUACCAAAGUGUUGUGGUUCAUUGGGUCCAUCUCCUCCUUCGCCAUCUACUACGGCACCUGCGUGCUCUCCGAGUCAAUGCUCUCCGCCCAUUCGUGCCAUCUUCGUCGGUUGCUCCUGUCCUGCACAAGGUCAUGCACAACAUGUGCCUUGCCGGAUGCCUUCGAUGCCCCACUCUUGAUCAGGUUUGUCAUGCAGCACCUGAUCGAUGCACCAAACUACAAAAGGGCUCAGUGGUGGACUGAUGGGGAGGAUGCAUCGAUGCGGAUUGCGGAAGGUCAUUACAAAGGAAUUCUAGGGGAAUCGUACCAAGGAUCCUGCACAAUGCGAGCCUUGCUAUUGUAUGCCUUCGAGACAUCGAGGCUACAGUAAAGAUGGAGUUAUUUCUUUCAGGAAGGUAACCUCUUGUUUUGGGUACUGCAGUUUUCUUGAAGCUACCUAGCUAGGUAUAAUGAAGAUGAUGGGUUCGCUUCAGCAUAAUUUCCGUUUCAGUUAUUGAGUUCUUUGAAGGCUACAACAAUUAUAAUAUGAACCAGUUGUGAAUCUCUCAUUUGUUUUGAUUAGUUCUAAGUUGUUCUGUGGCAUACAAUUUCAGACUGGGUGGUCUUGAAGUAACGUUACACACAUUACUUCUAUUAGGUGUAUGCAUGCUUGUGCGUGUGAUUACAAUGGAAGUGCACAUACAUGAAUUUUUUAGUGGUCCCCACUAACUGAAAGCAUAUUGUUGGAGUAAAAGCUCUCCACUACAGUUCCAUCCAUAAGAAAAUAACAGACAUGCGAAUAUUCAAGAACUUAUGGUGUCAUUCCUUGCUACUGAUCAGAAAAAAAUCUCACAAUUAUAGAGUAUUUUCAAGCAUACCAAAUUAUAUGGUUGUGUACAUUGAGACCACAUAAACCAUAUAUGAUGGAUUUUUUGCCAUAGUGUUAAGAAGUAGCAUCACAGUUAGAAACUAUUUUGAAGCAUACCAAAUUAUAUAAGUUUGCCGGCAUCUAUUAGGUGUAUGUUGUCCUUUCAGCGAUUUAGGCAUACUGUAGACACACAUAGUUCGUAGGAAAAGGAACAUGCUAUUGCUCAUCACUGUAAGUAUUGUACGCAAGAUAAAUUUGCAUCAUGUAGGUAGUGAAUACUCUAAUCAUGAUCAAGUUCCCUAGGCACUUCUUGUACAAGCACCAUCUGCUAUGAAAUCUUUAGAGUUUUUUUAUGACACAAUUUACAAGCACCAUGUGAGCGAAUGAGGAAUGCUAGCGCUAGCAGCUACUGUGAGCCGCAGUGGACAGCGGUAGCAGCGGUGGUCAGCCGGACAACACAAUGUCGGCGGCAGGCGGAUAGUGGCAAGCAGCCCUACCGGUAGCUGCUGCUGUUAGAAGAAUUGACGACUAGAGCAUGUUGUCUUAAUUUGUUCUCUGUUCCUAUAGGAGGAUUCAAUUCCAUUAACUGUUCAAACAGAAAUGAUUCCAUUAGGGAGCUGUCUACUUUGUGAUCUACUGUCAUUCUUCUCUGUCCAGACUAACAAUUGGAUGUAGUUCUUUACGUAUUUAUUAGUGCAAUCUUCUUGUCAUUGUUUUAAAGAUCGCAUAUGUAUAUGUGUGACUAGAGGUUAUGACUUAUAAGUGUUUCCGUUGAUUCGGGAAAUGCAAGUAAGGUGUACGUGUUAGUUUCCAGUGUUCAUUGUAAUUUCCUUGUCUUGGACGUAAUUUAUCUCAAUUUAGAUAUGAGAUAUUGGACUUUGAUUCUGCUUUGAAUUUAUUAACGCUCUAGAGUCCACCCUACCUAAAAAAAUCGCCCUCAGCCACUGAUGUACAUCACAACUCUACCUUGGAAGUAUAUAUGAGUAUGGUGUACAGUGCACACAAACGAGGACUACGGCCUAUGGAAUAUGUGUUCCUGGACCUGCUGCCAUGUCAAGUCAUGAGAGAUUUGAUCAAAACAUGUUUCAGGUAUAUUCACCAUGAAUUUUUUAUUAUUAAUUUGAUGAGAUCGAUUACUUCUGCUACCAUUUGAUUCUGUAGGAAGGAUACAUACAACGAUUUUGCUGAGGCAAUGGAUCUGGAAGAGAUGGGGGUACUUGUUCAUAUGUCAUGCUCGUUCAAGAGCCUCAUUGCUCAUUCCACGAAGAGGCAAAUGAGAAUCCUGUCUAUACGAAUGGAGAAGAUGUAGGCUUAUUCCCAUAAAAUCUUGUUCAGGAGCCCAGCAGCAGAUAGAAAAGAUGACAUGGACCACGAUAAAGAUUUAAGAAUCUUUCAGUUCAAAUGUCUCUCCUGCAACCAUUGUUUCUAGAGUAGAUAGCUCUGAUGACUUAAGGGUGUCACGGGCUAAUGGUGCUGAGCCCCCAAAAUGUAUUGUAGUCAAUGGAUAUUUCUGAUAAAAACAUUAGUUAUCGAGUGAUGAUAGUGUUUGUCUAUCGCAAACAUUUAAACAGUUUAAAUUG